RNAcentral lists this ribosomal RNA (253 nucleotides) under uncultured bacterium. Its description in RNAcentral is "partial 16S ribosomal RNA". It matches the Rfam family "Bacterial small subunit ribosomal RNA", at positions 524 to 776 of the family's 1533-position model. The record is from RNAcentral.
UACGUAGGCAGCGAGCGUUGUUCGGAAUUACUGGACGUAAAGAGUGUGUAGGCGGUGUUCCCAGUCUGUUGUGAAAUCUCCCGGCUUAACUGGGAGGGUGCAGCGGAAACUAGAAUGCUAGAGGGUGGGAGAGGUAAGCGGAAUUCCUGGUGUAGCGGUGAAAUGCGUAGAUAUCAGGAGGAACACCUGUGGUGUAGACAGCUUACUGGACCACUUCUGACGCUGAGACACGAAAGCGUGGGUAGCAAACAGG